UACGAAGGUUGCAAGCGUUGUUCGGAAUCACUGGGCUUAAAGCGUACGUAGGCGGCUCAAUAAGUACCUUGUGAAAUCCCCCGGCUCAACCGGGGAAUUGCUUGGUAUACUGUUAGAGCUUGAGGCAAGUAGAGGCGCGUGGAACUCUUGGUGGAGCGGUGGAAUGCGUAGAUAUCAAGAGGAACGCCGGUGGCGAAAGCGGCGCGCUGGGCUUGUCCUGACGCUGAGGUACGAAAGCCAGGGGAGCAAACGGG
This 254-nucleotide ribosomal RNA is filed under the name uncultured bacterium. Its description in RNAcentral is "partial 16S ribosomal RNA". It matches the Rfam family "Bacterial small subunit ribosomal RNA", at positions 524 to 776 of the family's 1533-position model. The record is from RNAcentral.